AGAACGAACGCUGGCGGCAUGCCUAACACAUGCAAGUCGAACGAGACCUUCGGGUCUAGUGGCGCACGGGUGCGUAACGCGUGGGAAUCUGCCCUUGGGUUCGGAAUAACAGUUGGAAACGACUGCUAAUACCGGAUGAUGACGUAAGUCCAAAAGAUUUAUCGCCCAGGGAUGAGCCCGCGUAGGAUUAGCUAGUUGGUGAGGUAAAGGCUCACCAAGGCGACGAUCCUUAGCUGGUCUGAGAGGAUGAUCAGCCACACUGGGACUGAGACACGGCCCAGACUCCUACGGGAGCAGCAGUGGGAACUAUUGGACAAUGGGCGAAAGCCUGAUCCAGCAAGUGCCGCGUGAGUGAUGAAGGUCCUUCGGUUGUAAAG
Molecule: ribosomal RNA, 377 nt
Filed under: uncultured soil bacterium
Lineage: Bacteria
Description: bacterial SSU rRNA
Rfam family: Bacterial small subunit ribosomal RNA
Source: RNAcentral